Molecule: long non-coding RNA, 548 nt
Filed under: Fukomys damarensis (Damara mole-rat)
Lineage: Eukaryota; Metazoa; Chordata; Mammalia; Rodentia; Bathyergidae
Description: lncRNA (ENSFDAG00000021999.1)
Source: RNAcentral
GACCAUCCAGUGGGGAGGGGUCCUGCUUGGACCACUUCAUCUUGAGUCAUCUCUGCAUAGCCAGCAUAGUGUACCCCAUUUUCUAUGAAGUUGCUCCCAUCCUUGAGCAGGAAGGAAUCAACCUCAGGCAGGGGGUCUUUUCUGCAGAUCUAGAUGACUGGAUAACAAUUCGUCAGUGACCCUGAGGCAGUCGUGGUCAGGGGGCCAGAUUCCGAGGGCAAAAAAGUAGCAGGGUUUAAGGUUUUAACUGGAGCAAAAUAUAAGGGGGGAUUUUCACAGAUGAGGGCCUGAUAUUAUGUGACUCUAUUAUUUGAGAGCCAUCAAUGUCCUGUUAUUCAAUAGUUCUAAAAGGCAUGGGAAAACUGAAUAAUUUACUUUUUCCUAAUGUUAUCUGGUCAGCUUUCUCAAUUAGCAUUACUGCAGCUGCCAGGGCUUUAUAAACAAAACAAAGGAACUAUCUCUUCACAACUGGAUCUAAACUCUAAGAUAAAUAUAUCACUGGUUAAUUCUAUGGGCCUAUUCCUUCAAGGAGCACCCCUAAAAAGCAG